UGGGUAUUUCGCGCACAUAAGUAUAAAUACAAAAUUGGAAACCCAAAAACCUAAACUCUCUCCUUUUCUCCCUCAGCCGCGUCCUUCUCUCUCUUUCUCCCCCGACCUCUCGCUCUCUCUCUUCUUCUCUCUGCCAUCACCUGAAACCACCACUUCCGGCCACCACCUCUUGUCAUCACUACCACCAAUCGAAUCAGGACCAAAUUCCGACCUCAACCCAGCAAGAAUCACCGGCAUGCACUGCCUCCAGCUACCGCAUGCAACCACCACAGUUCCCGCCACCAUGCCUAGCCGGAAAGGCUACUUCCGAUCAUUUUCUGCACUCACCACCGCUACUGCUUGACUCAGUAGACAUGGAGGAGGAAAACCCAGAAGUCUAGCCAUCCACCGAAGCCGGACAAGGCCGCACGAGCGUCGCCGGAAUCUCUCCUUCUGCUGAAAUCGAUUCACUGUUCUUCGGCCUCGCCUGAGCGACACCACCACCAUAAAUGGUAUCAGCACCUAUCCUUUAUCCAAAACCCAUGGUCUUAACCUCCGAUUCCGACUAGAGCCGCCGUACGCGCUGCACGCGCCGCCGUUGGCACGUGGACCACCGUAGCUCCGCCGCUCACGGUCGCUGAGCCUUCAGAUCAUCUCUGUUAGGUAAUUUGCGUCGCCCUAUUCUUGGUUGAGGCCUCCAAUUCGAUUUAGAUUGAAAACCCUAAUUUGUGUUGUCUGAUUUGGAAUGUGAGGGACUUGAAAUCUGUGUUGGGGAGAUUUUGGAGGAAAUGAGGUCUGUGAAGGACGGGAAUUUGGAGUUUUGGAAGGGAGGAGCUGCUGGGUCAGUUAAGUUGAUGUUGAGGAAUGGGAUCUGAAAGGUUGUUGGUGGUGGGAAUGCAGCUACGACGAAAUUGGUUUCUGUUUUGGAAAAGAAGAAGCGGUGAGUAUUGGUCUCUGACAAGCUAUGGGAUUUGGUGUGGUAAUUGUAUUUUGAAAUGCAAUUUGGUAUGCUGCUUGAAUGGUUAAUGCCUAUUUGAGUGAUCGGUUAUGCUGGAGAUGUCAUUGUUAUAAGGUGAAUGACUAAAUCAGUGAACUCUUUAAAGGAGUUGUAAAUUGCAAGUUAAAUCGUUGUUGUGAAAGAAAAUGUUGAGCAUGAGUAACUAUCAAUGUUGGAAGGGAGUUGAUAAUGAAAAUGAUGGAUUUUAUUUGACUGAGCUAAA
Long non-coding RNA from Rosa rugosa (rugosa rose), 1199 nucleotides. RefSeq lists it as uncharacterized. Lineage: Eukaryota; Viridiplantae; Streptophyta; Magnoliopsida; Rosales; Rosaceae. The record is from RefSeq and is a predicted model, not a curated record. The transcript is spliced from 2 exons.